This 407-nucleotide ribosomal RNA is filed under the name uncultured bacterium. Its description in RNAcentral is "partial 16S ribosomal RNA". It matches the Rfam family "Bacterial small subunit ribosomal RNA", at positions 28 to 526 of the family's 1533-position model. The record is from RNAcentral.
GACGAACGCUGGCGGCGUGCCUAAUACAUGCAAGUCGAGCGGAGCGGCGGACGGGGGAGUGAUGCCUAGGAAUUUGCCUGGUGGUGGGGUACACCGUCCGGCAACGGACGCUAUUACCGCAUGCUAUCAGAUGAGCCUAGGUCGGAUUGGCUAGUUGGAUGGGUAAAGGCCUACCAAGGCGACGAUCCGUAACUGGGCUGAGAGGAUGAUCAGUCAAACGGGAACGGAGACACGGCCCCGACGCCUACGGGAGGCAGCAGUGGGGAAUAUUGGGCAAUGGGCGAAAGGCUGACCCAGCCAUGCCGCGUGUGUGAAGAAGGUCUUCGGAUUGUAAAGCACUUUAAUUUGGGAGGCGUUACCAACAGAAGAAGCACCGGCUAACUUCGUGCCAGCCGCCGCGGUAAUAC